This 806-nucleotide ribosomal RNA is filed under the name Vreelandella lionensis. Its description in RNAcentral is "bacterial SSU rRNA". It matches the Rfam family "Bacterial small subunit ribosomal RNA", at positions 63 to 864 of the family's 1533-position model. Lineage: Bacteria; Pseudomonadati; Pseudomonadota; Gammaproteobacteria; Oceanospirillales; Halomonadaceae. The record is from RNAcentral.
CGAGCGGUAGCACAGAGAAGCUUGCUUCUUGGGUGACGAGCGGCGGACGGGUGAGUAAUGCAUAGGAAUCUGCCCGAUAGUGGGGGAUAACCUGGGGAAACCCAGGCUAAUACCGCAUACGUCCUACGGGAGAAAGGGGGCUCCGGCUCCCGCUAUUGGAUGAGCCUAUGUCGGAUUAGCUAGUUGGUGAGGUAAAGGCUCACCAAGGCAACGAUCCGUAGCUGGUCUGAGAGGAUGAUCAGCCACAUCGGGACUGAGACACGGCCCGAACUCCUACGGGAGGCAGCAGUGGGGAAUAUUGGACAAUGGGCGCAAGCCUGAUCCAGCCAUGCCGCGUGUGUGAAGAAGGCCCUCGGGUUGUAAAGCACUUUCAGCGAGGAAGAACGCCUAGCGGUUAAUACCCGCUAGGAAAGACAUCACUCGCAGAAGAAGCACCGGCUAACUCCGUGCCAGCAGCCGCGGUAAUACGGAGGGUGCAAGCGUUAAUCGGAAUUACUGGGCGUAAAGCGCGCGUAGGUGGCUUGAUAAGCCGGUUGUGAAAGCCCCGGGCUCAACCUGGGAACGGCAUCCGGAACUGUCAAGCUAGAGUGCAGGAGAGGAAGGUAGAAUUCCCGGUGUAGCGGUGAAAUGCGUAGAGAUCGGGAGGAAUACCAGUGGCGAAGGCGGCCUUCUGGACUGACACUGACACUGAGGUGCGAAAGCGUGGGUAGCAAACAGGAUUAGAUACCCUGGUAGUCCACGCCGUAAACGAUGUCGACCAGCCGUUGGGUGCCUAGCGCACUUUGUGGCGAAGUUAACGCGAUAAG